This 1504-nucleotide long non-coding RNA is filed under the name Anser brachyrhynchus (Pink-footed goose). RNAcentral's name for it is "lncRNA (ENSABRG00000002686.1)". Lineage: Eukaryota; Metazoa; Chordata; Aves; Anseriformes; Anatidae. The record is from RNAcentral.
GGUGAAUGUGUAAGUUAAAGUUUUGGUGUGUUUUACUAUGGAAACAGAUAUAAAUCUGAAAAUCAGAUGUCCAAGAAGGAUCCCUGAUACAGCAAUGUUCUGUACAUUUAUCCUACACAAAGUCUGUAAGAUGAUUGUCCUCUGUAGCGUUUGCCGCUGAUCCUGAAAAAAAAUGAGAAAACUCACAUUUGGUAAUAUUUAAUUCAUGAGGACUGCUUACCUUAAAUCACUGUAAAUAGGGGCUGCACCAUCAGCCCUAAGGUUCUUAAUUUCACUCCGAGGCUGACUAUUUCCUGUGUUACAAUGCUGUGAAGCUGAAUCCGGAAUACCAAUUUAAUACUUGAGUGCCCAGAGUCAGGCAGACACUUUGCAUAAAACUCUUCUCUUGUGAGCUCUGAGUGCCUGCAGCUCUCCGCGGGAGGCAGUGGGUGCUAAGCACCUCCAAAAUCCAGGUCACUGUCACUUGGGAGCUCAGGAAGGAACUGCGAUGCCAAAGUUUGAGACUAAACUUACAAGUGAGUGACAUCGUUGUGGAAGGGCUGCCACACUUUGGGUCAACUGAAUUUCGGUAGUAAAUAGCACGAGCUGGCGAGCCAGUGAGAACGGAUCUGCGUGCGGUGAGCGUGCAGCACCAGAGGGGCACGUCCCGUUGUCUGCGCAGCGCUGCCGAGAGCUACCAGCAGCUUCGGCUCCUGAUGCGUGCUGCGUGCUGACUGCCUUCCCAGCCACUGUGGUUUGUGUGCAGGGUGAAAAUGGUAACGUGCACCUACCCACACAAGGCAUCCCUAUGUAUCACAGCUGUAUUUAUUUACUUGCUAAAUAAAAUCAAAAUAAUUAUGCAUUAAUUAUCAUUUAUUAACCAGCAACAAAUCUUUUCCUGAUAUUAGCAUCUCAGUAGGUAUAUUUAGGCUUAAAAAUUAGUACGUCUUAGUGCCAAAGUCUAUCCAAGGCAUCUGACUCCUACUGACACUGAAUUAUUCUGUUUUUUUAGUGUCUAACUAUAGGAUCAAUAAGCAUUCAUCCUUCUCUGUAGUCUCUAGGCUAGUAGGAAGAGAGGCAGCCUUGUAGACAAGGCACAGACAACGAGGUCAAGAGAAGGGAAUUCGUUUCUCAGCUUGCCUUAGGGGUUUUGUGAAGCCUUGGACAAAUCACACAACCUCUAAGUUUAAACCUCCUGACUUCCAAAAUGGAAAUGAUCAUAACCGUCUACCUCCCCAGGGCGCUAUGAAGUAAAUCAAUUCUCUGUAAGUAUGUAUGUGAGGUGUUGGUUGUUGGUGGGGGGACUACUUGGGUGCUUCAGAAGGAACAGAGAUAUUUCUGUUAGCUUUCAUUUUUGGAAACAGUCCUGGAGUGCAUCCUAAGCUUCAAUGUAUUAAAAAAAUUAACAACAUCUAGAACAAGAUUUGGUUACAUAGUGUGUAGUUAGUACAAUGUAUUAACAUUGCUAGUCUCAUUCUCCUACGGACAUUGUUUAUUUUGCAGCGUAACUAUGAAAGAUUGAAAG